This 787-nucleotide long non-coding RNA is filed under the name Homo sapiens (human). RNAcentral describes it as "HSALNT0029039". Lineage: Eukaryota; Metazoa; Chordata; Mammalia; Primates; Hominidae. The record is from RNAcentral.
GCAUUUCUGGUGGCCCGUACAGGAACUGGAGACGACAGAUUUACUGUCUCCUUUGCCUGGGGGACUUAGGGCCCUGGGGCUCGGGGAGACCCGGCAUCCAAGGCGCGCCAUGGGGGAGCUUCACCUGGAUGGAGACUGGCUCUCCCCGCGUCCCAGUGCCCUGCCCGGCAGCGCAACAGAACCGGAGACUGGGCUGCAGGACGAUACCAGCACUUCAGGAACCACGGUUAAAGAAAGAGGGACCAAUUAACUUCACCUUUUCCUAAACUUGAAAAGACAAACCAAAUUCUGCCCUUCAUCUCCAAUGUUUGAAAGAUCAGAGGUUCCUGUCAAGUAAGUCAUCCUUUCUUCAUAACUAUUGAAAAAGAAAUAAUCAGAAAUCGCUGAAUAGGUCAAUUAAAACCAUUUUUAUCAAAUAUAUUCAUUCACAACAUGUAUUGUUGUAGUUAAAAACUGGUUGAGAAAGUUUACUUGUAAUUAUUCCGCACUUUGAUAUCUGUCGAUUAUUUCUGGAGCAAAGGCAGGCUUAUUCAUUAGGUGCCUUUAGCUAAUUUUUCCUGCUAUUCUUGCUGGAUACUUUAGAAAUGAGAAGGGGUGAGCUGUAAGAUAAAUGAGUGUCACUAAGGGAAAUAUAAGCCUGCCUUUCUCAAGGGCUGAGCUCCGGGAGGCGGGAAGAGUUCAGAGCAUUGGGCCAGGGCUCAUCUGGUGGGUUCAAGCACACAGCCUCAACUCCCUUGCAGGAACAUGGGUCCGUGUGUGGUUCACUCUGAAGCAUCUGUCUUCCUGU